GGAGAGGCCAGCAGGGGGGCUAUAGAGGAGGCUUUGAGGGAGGGGGAUUGAGGGAGGGUCUCUGAGGGAGGGAGGAUGCUCAAUUUGGCCUGGGGAGUCUUCCCAGAAGAGAUGAUGUUUAAACUGAACCUUGAAGGACAAGGACCAAUUAACCAGAAAAAACAGGCAACAAGGUAGAAGAUGGCAAGAGGCUGUUUAGAAAGUGGGAACAGUAUGUGGAAAGCCAGAGACACAGAAUAGCAUGGUUAAAGCGUGCAUGUGUGUGCAUGCAUGCGUGUGUAUGUGUGCACAUGUGCACAGAGUGGGGUCACAGUGGUAGGAGCUGUUGUUAGACACGAAGCUGGAGAGACAGGCAGAGCCAGGGCAGGACAAAAAGCAAUGGAAUAAAUGAAAAUAUUUUAUUAAAAGAGCUCAGGAGGAGGGUCUGGGCUAGAGAGAAGAAUGUGGGAAUCACUAGGAUAGAAACUGGCUGAAGUCAGUGACAGACGGGAAGCCUGGAAAACCAGCACACAAGGGACGAUCCCAGGGAGAAGCAGCCACAAAAGCUUCAGAGAGAUGGGAAGAACACAGGGAACAAUGUCAUAGAAGGCAUAAGUGAGUCUCAGGGAGCGGGUGGCCAAGAGAAAGAGUGACGAGGACCCAGGAAGUCCUUUGGAUUCUAGUCGGAGACUGGGAGACCUAAGUGAAUAGACCCAGGCUGCCGGCAGGCUGGAAGUGAAUGGGAGGUGAGGAAGUGAUGACCUAUUUGAGAACCUGAAGAAAGCUACAGACCCUCAACCAGCAAAACCAUCAACUAAACAACAGUGGAAACAUGCACGGUCACCAUACAACUGGAUAUAAAACCCAGCAAAUGUUAUUUUUGUAUCUGAAGCAGCAAAAGGAUUGUACUGUAAAUUCGCCCUGAUUCACCCAUGCGAGGGACCAAUUUGGCAGAUCAUCCAUCUUGCUCACUGUAUACUGUCAAGGAUGGCAUGAAUUCCCCACAUGAUAAACAGAUUCCUUCUCAGGCCUACAUGCAACGUACACCUUGGGACUGACGGCUCGCUCUUCUACAGUGCUCAGCACGUGAUGGAGACACCAGUGUGACUCAAAGGGCUGCAUCCUGUGUGAUGCGUUUGGAUGACAUUCCAGAAAAGGUAAAACUAUAGGGACAGAAAACAGACCAGGGGAUUCCAAGGGGGAAGGGCAGACGUGACUAAGAAGGGAAAUGAGGGAACAUUUGGGAGAUGAUGGAAUUAUUCUAUAUCUGGACUGGGAAGACUCAUAGAACAGUUCUGAGUGAAGAGUGAAUUUUACUACAUAUAAAUUAUACCUUUUAUAGUAAAAACUUAGGAAAAAAGUGCUAGUGGAAAGAAUGAAUGAAGGCCAUGUCAUUAGGCCACUGGGAACAUGGCACAGAACAGAUCAGAGGUGGCCCUGCCCGCUGGAGCUUGCAGCUAGCAGGGAAGACAGCUAUGAAACAGCAAAUACCUACAGGCUGAUGGAUAUUCUGGUGGGAGACAGACAGGGGUACACAGCAGGGGUGCAGGGACAUUUCAGGCAUGAACAGGAAUUAGCCAGGUAAGUUAGGAGUGGGAAUGGUGAGAGGGAGGUAGAUUGUGCCAGAUGUUUUUGAGGUUAUCAAACCUGGGGUAGCUGGUGGGUUUGAUGCAUGAAUGGAACUCAGUGUAGUGAGAGAGACCCCAGUGGCUGGGUGGUGCAGGGCCUUGGAAUUGGCCAUGUCUGGUGUCUGUUUUAAUCCCAAUGCAGUGGGAUCCAGGGAAAGGUCUGCUCCACGACGGGGCUCCCCUGCACCUAGCAUUGCUUCUCUUUUGCAGACUCCAAGUGGGCACUGAGGGUUUACUGAGGCCUUGUCUGAAAUAGCAAAAAACUGGAAAUAGUGUCCAUCACUAGGAGACUAGGUAUCUAAACUGUGGCAUGCUCAUAUGGUACGCUGUUAUGCUACAAACAGCAGUGAGAAUGUAAGAACUGGAGCCACAUGUGUCCACAUCAGAGGCCUAAUGAAGAGUCCCCAAAGCAAGAUGCAGACCAGAAACAGAGCAUGACAUUUGCAUAACGCGUGAAAGCUUGCACAUACUACACACGGCGCGUGGGUACUCAGGUAAGUAGUGAGGAUAUGUCACUAUGCACAGGAAUGAUAAAAAGCAAAUCCAAGGUAGGCAGUCUACUCCUAGGAGGAAUAAAAAUUAAGGAGGGGGCUUCAACUCUAUCUUUAAUGUCUUACUUCUUUUAAAGAUAUAGGUUUAAAUUAUGACCAAAAGUUAAGGCUAAAGUUGGGUGAUGGGUAGGUGGGUGUUUACUACAUUAUUCGAGAGUUUCUUUAUGUUUGGAAUAUUGUUGACCUAAUAUUAAAAAGUAAGAAAGUAAGUAAGUUCACUAUUGAUUAUGCACAGAGAAGGAACUUGAGAACACACAGUAAGGCGGUGAGAGCUGGAGGGCUGGAAGAGUGGGAGGCAAGUGUGGAGAGAGAUGCAGGUUUGAGAGCAGUUUAGGAGAUGGAGGGGCAGGUGACAGCAGGGCAUCGUGGGGGGAGAAAGAAGACCAUGGGAAGAAAGCCCACCACAUCACCAUUCAUAAGAACAGCCACUCCUAGGCUGACAUUCAUCGUCCGCUUACUAUGUGCAGGCACCGUGUGAAGGUAUAUAGGAGGAACAGAUUCAACCCUCACAGCCACCUCCCAAUAUGAAGUAGACAAUAGUCACUUCCCUCAUUUGACAGAAGAUACGGUGCGACUAGCUGGAUGGUCCAUUUCUAGAUAGGCCCCCGUACAGUCAGUGGUGCCCGCACCCUGCAGCCUGCGUGUCUGCUGGAGGUGGGAGUGACUGGGCCUGCCUUCCAGGGCAUGGCUUCUCUACUAUCCACCUGUCAGCACAUAAAUCUCAAAAACAUAACCACAAGGCACAAAAGAGCCAAUCCCCUCGUGGGAUUAAGGAAGGGAACCAGAACACAUUUCAUACCAAGUAUGAAUGGGGCAGUGUGCUGAGGGCGUUUACACAUGGUUUCAUUCACUCCUAAUAGCCCUGCAGUGGAAACAUACCCCCACAUUCUCCAGCAAGGAAACUGAGGCUCAGACAGACAACUUGGCUUGGCCGAAAUCACAUGGAUGGAACACAGAUCGAAAGCAGUUUAGGCUUUGAGCCCAUGCCAAGCCAGGAAAUUCCAAGUGCCUAUAAAGACAGACGGGUAUGGAAAGGCGGGAGAAAGGAAGAAGGUUAGCAGGGAGAAGGGGGUGGUUGUGGCCUGGCACAUUUAAGUGUGAAUGAAUGAGGACGCCUGGGGGAGGGAUGUGGUCUUGGCGCAGUGGUGAGCGGCGCAGGGUGCGAGGACGGGUGGCAAGCUCUGGGGCGCAUGGGGCAGGCAUCCUAGGUCCAGCAGGAGCCCUAGUGGCCCACCCAGAAGGACCCUGCCUAACCUGAGGGCCUUUCCAGCCUAAGCCACUGACAGCUUCAGAAACUACAACACAGUGACCCCAACAGUCCAGAAUGUUUCUCAGCCGAGUUCAGAUGGACAGAUCCUGAUGUGGACACCAAACCUGCCCUAAACAUGGGGACUCACUCGAGUGCUCACCUUGUGCUCUGAAGAGACCUGCCACCUGGUGGUUAUGGCCAGAGAGUCUGUUUAGAUAGAAUGAGCUUCUGUGCAUCAAAGGUGAACAGCAAUGCUAAUCUGACCUCAUGUAUCUUAAUCACACGUUGGCGAGGCCUGUGCCACACAGUAACACGAGGCCCGCUUGCAUGACCAGCUCUGAAAUUUCUGACCAAGUCCUUCCUCAGUGGUGGUGGUGCCGAUGGGCUUGUCGGUUCCCAAGCCUUGGCUCUGACCUGAGCAGCAGGUACUCACAGCCCUUGUCGGAGCUCUACCAUAUUCCACUAGUCACCUGUCACCCGUAGACACGGCCAAUAUAAUGUGGAGUUUUCUUGAGUACGUAUGAGUGGUAUUUAAUAUUUUGACCAAUUAGCAGGAGCAUGACAGAAAGCAUGUAGCUACUUUAUUUAUUUAAUAAGAUGUCACAGAGACACUCAGGAGCUUCCCAUACCCCCUUACAGUACUGUUUUCCUACUGAGAAGGAAAUGAGCGCAAGCCAGCAACAUAGUAAGGAAUGUCAGAGACGCACCCAAAGGAGCCACACUGCAAAAUGGCCUUCUCUCCAAGGUGAGUGCCUGCGUCUACACUGGUGGGAGAACGCGAGGGUCCAACUUGAGGUCCACUCCCACACGGCAUCCAGCAGCAGCGAGGCCCUCUCCUGCCCCAGGUUGCUUUAAAUCACUGAAAAUCUUAGCAGCAAACCUAACAAGUCACUUUUUUCCCCCAAUAGCAUAAAGGAGUAAACUGAGAAAGACCUGGGGUGGGAAGGUCAGGCUAGGAGCCGGGAGCAGGGGGCAGACUGGGUGGCACCUCUGUCUCCCUGUCGGCACUAGUUUCUUCUAUAAAAUGGAAGAGCGAUGGUUUCUUUCUCACCCCCUCUGCCAGGACUGAAGUUAGAACAAGACAAGGGGAGCUAAAACUCUCCAGCACCUAGUAGGUGCUUGGGGGUGGGGGUGUGUGUGAACAAUUUAUUUUCUUAACUCCGCCUAAGUAACUGUUACAAUGACAUAAGAGCCAAAAUUAUUUAUUAACAAAGAAAACUUGUUUAAUAAAAUCAAGGUUAUUUAACUUGUGCCAUUUAUAUCUUACCUGCCCAAAUGUGAUUCCUCAGCCACUUGCAGAUGGGGCCUGUGCCUUUCAGGGAAUAGGGAAGCUUUCUAUGCACUGCGAGGUGACAGGGGGCAGGGGUCCAGAUGUGAGUAAGGCAGACCCUGUGCUCCCAGGACUUGCAGCUGAAGGGGAAGACCAGCCUCAGUAAGUAGGUCACCGUAACAAAGAGGCUGGGGCAGUGGGUGCUUACAGCCCCUGUCACCCCAGAGCUGGGGAUGAGGAUGGACGAGGGUAGGCCUGGGGGGCACCUGCACGAGAGGAGGCGGGGAAAAGAGUCUGAAGACAGGCCAGGUCACGGAUUACCCAAGUGAGACUUGAACCUGAGGGAGGCUGGGCAGCAGAGUGACCAGUCAGAUGUGCACUGUGGAAAGAUGGAGCUGGCCUGAGUGAGGGGACACCUGUCUGAAGACAAGGUGCUCAGCAGGUACAGAGCUGUGCACACGUGGGAGUGGGGAGCCAAAGGUGGUCUGCCAGGCUGGCUCAGGGAGCCCUGGGGUGGGUAGGCCACUCACCUCAAGAAGGGGCACUGGGGGGGAGCAGCUCUAGGGGGAUGAGACCCAGGGUCAGGUGGUCUCUGGCCAUACAGGCAGGUUGGUCCAUGGCCUGGCCACAGCCCAGGGCAGUGAGAGAUGCUCACUGCCGUUGCCAGGGAGUCAACGCGCUCAGCUCUUCUAAUGAGACACCACCUCCGUGUGUGACCCAGAACCUCCCUCCCACCUGGGAUGGUUCUUCACACUCUUUCCUUCUCCCCAAGCUGGGAAACCACACUGGGGAAAGAAACCUUAGAAAUCCUGUGUUGACUAGAGACAUACAAGGAGAAGCUGCAGAGGUGACAGGGUCCUGUGGUGGGCUAGAGCCCACCCAUGGGCUGGGAGGGGACGCUGCCAGGGACUUGGAAUGUAAGUCUGCUCUCCCUCAGGGCUCACUUUUCUUGUGUAUCUUUUAUAAGCUCUUAAGGAAAUAUGCACAUCAAAAGCAGAGCUUGGAGAUAUUAAAAAUUAAAAACCCUGCUUAAAUUACAAUUCAAUUUUUGUAGUGAACUCGCAGUCUGGCAAGACUGCUGAAGUGACACUGGGUGACACAGUUGGCCCCGCUUCAGGGGCACAGUGCUUGCCCUGCUCCAGCUUUUCUCCAGAUCCACACUGAUUUAGAAAUAAUGCUUUCAAAUUACCUUCAAUAACCUUAUUACAGAGCCAGCUGUGCGUAUGAACACUUAUCAAUGCGUCCCUGUGCAUUAAGAGAAAAUGUAUGUCAUACAAACAGUCUAAAUAUAUAAUACUGAGAUGGGAAAAAACAAACCCUCUAGUUAAAUUGCUUUGCUGUAAUCAAAGAUUAAUCACUGUGUGAGAGUGCAUGUGUGAGUGUGUGCGCGCCCUCUCUUUUUCUCCAGGGUUCAUUUCUGGCUUUGGGCAAACCUGCCCAUCCCUUACCAAGCCACACUCUCCACCAGGCAGCUCACACCGCUCUUCUGAUGGUGGAAUUAAUUUUCCCAGAUUCCUGAGAGUUGGAGGAGCUAAGUGGUGGUCUUAAAUGUUGUUUUCUUUCUGAGUCUUGUAGGCCUGUAGCUCAGAAACACUCCUUUCCCCCAGGUGCGUGAUGGGCAGCAGGCUUGGAAGUGUCCAUCUGUGCCUGUCCCUUCUCGACAAUGCUGCCAGUCAGCCUGGUGUGCGGGUGGUGACGUUUGGGCUGUGAUGGAAUGUUCCUUUGAGAAUCCAUGGCUGCCCGCAGCCAGUGGCGUGGAGGGCUGCUCUCUGCCUUGCACCCGAUGCGCAGGUGACUAAACUCAUCUGGCCCCACAAGGGCCUGGGGCCACGCCGAGUGGGACCAAGUGACAUUUUCGUUAUAUGAGAUGGUAUUAGAAAAGCCAUUAAGGUACAUUAUUUUACACAUCCUCCUAAUCUCUCCACACUGCUUUACUUAAUUUGUGAUGAAAUUGUUGAGAAAGGGUACUUAAUGUAGGACAGUCAGUAAAAGUAAUUUAUCAUCUUCCCGCUUCAGUGCUCACGUUAUCAGAGAACUCAUUUUCUGCAUUCAUCAUGCAAUCAGCCUAUUAUUUGCAUAUUAAUCAGGCAGUGGACCAUGAAAGAACUGCAUCCCAGCCAAAUGCUGCACUAUCUCAGGAGAAACACUCGGUAAUUAUCAUACAUCAGUGUUAUGAUGUGGUAAUUGAUUAGAACAUCUCUCUGCUGCCCCCGGGGAGUCCCUCUGCUAACCCAGCUCCAGGCACUCUGGACAGAUUUUUCUUUUACUGCAAAAAAUCAGAGUAACCACUGCUGUUCUCUCAGAGUGCUAUUUCUGUGGAGUAUUGAUCCUCUUUUCCAAAUUCAUAAGGUAUUUUAAGCCAUGCGAAACAAAACCGACUGUAACUCAGGAAUGAGAAGGUCUGAUAGUGACUUGGGAAUGUCCCUCUGGGCCCCUGUCCCCUCUCUCCUCAGCAUUUUGGGUUCAGAGGUGCUGCUUCGGCUUCCAUAAACAUUUCCUUAUCAAAUAAAAUGUUGCAACUUCAGUCCCUCCUAAUUGCAAAGCUGGUACAAAGGCAGUUGGGCUGAUUUAGGUGCCAAAUGACAAGACUAAUUUUGGCCUUCCUGUAAAGGACAAACCCGACCUCUGCCAAUUCAGACUCUGGCUAUAUUUAGGAGCCCAGUUCCAAAGGGAAGAGCAAAAUAUGAAAUCAAGAUGAAGCCAGUGAUGGAGGCUUCCUGGCUGGCUCCUGUGCUAUGCAGGGCAGUGCCAGCAGGGACUCCCCUCCUUCCUCCAGCUGACCAUGGCCCACAAGUCAGUCUGUGUGGGGCUGGGGUUGGGGCACUGGCCGGGGAGGCCGUGAUAGCUGUAGGUGGGGCUGCCUUGCAGCGAGGAAAGGACCUCAGGCCCACUGUGUAUAUGUUUGUUGAAUUUGGACUGGAAGGGAUUUCGAGAAAGCAUAGACCCUCCAUCCUACGCAAGAUGGAGUAUCACUUGUCCACGGCCAAACUUCAUAAACUCAAGUCCAACUCCACCACUGACUUGUCGAUCAUCCCUCCCCUUCCCCAGCCUAGGUCACUGGUGAAACAUACAGGACAGAUCCCAAGGUAACCAAGGUGUCUGUUUUUCUGCCAAUUGUUUGUUUUGUCAUGGAUUUUUUGUUUUUAUAUUUGUCUAUUUAUAAUCUGAAGCCAAUUUUGUCCCUUG
Microcebus murinus (gray mouse lemur) is the source of this 7863-nucleotide non-coding RNA. The record is from RefSeq and is a predicted model, not a curated record. Lineage: Eukaryota; Metazoa; Chordata; Mammalia; Primates; Cheirogaleidae.